CAGAGCGACAGUGACACCAAGGCGGGUCGGAAAACCAAGGAAAUUGAGGACCUUGUCACAGAGACGGUGAAAGGGAAACCUGAAAUGCAGACCACAGCUUCCCAGCAGAUGUUGAACUUCCCUGAUAAGAGCAAGGAGAAGCCUCCAGACAUGCAAAACUUUGGGCUGCGUACUGACAUGUACACCAAGAAGAAUGCUCCCUCCAAGAGCAAAGCUGCUGCCAGCGCCACUCGGGAGUGGACCGAGCAGGAGACGCUGCUGCUGCUGGAGG
This is a long non-coding RNA of Gekko japonicus, 271 nucleotides long. RefSeq lists it as uncharacterized. The record is from RefSeq and is a predicted model, not a curated record. Lineage: Eukaryota; Metazoa; Chordata; Lepidosauria; Squamata; Gekkonidae. The transcript has 3 exons.